GUGCUUACUUCAGCAGUACAUAAAUUGGAACGAUACAGAGAAGAUUAAUGGUCCCGGCACAAGGAUGACAUGCAAAUUCAUGAAGCAUUCCAUAUUUUA
Molecule: small nuclear RNA, 99 nt
Filed under: Prolemur simus (greater bamboo lemur)
Lineage: Eukaryota; Metazoa; Chordata; Mammalia; Primates; Lemuridae
Source: RNAcentral